UACGUAGGGGGCGAGCGUUGUCCGGAUUUAUUGGGCGUAAAGAGCUCGUAGGCGGUUUGGCAAGUCGGGUGUGAAAACUCCGGGCUCAACUCGGAGACGCCACUCGAUACUGCCAUGACUCGAGUCCGGUAGGGGAGUGCGGAAUUCCUGGUGUAGCGGUGAAAUGCGCAGAUAUCAGGAGGAACACCGGUGGCGAAGGCGGCAUCCUGGACCAACACUGACGCUGAGUGAGCGAAAGCCAGGGGAGCAAACGGG
RNAcentral lists this ribosomal RNA (255 nucleotides) under uncultured bacterium. RNAcentral describes it as "partial 16S ribosomal RNA". It matches the Rfam family "Bacterial small subunit ribosomal RNA", at positions 524 to 776 of the family's 1533-position model. The record is from RNAcentral.